Molecule: ribosomal RNA, 445 nt
Filed under: uncultured bacterium
Lineage: Bacteria
Description: bacterial SSU rRNA
Rfam family: Bacterial small subunit ribosomal RNA
Source: RNAcentral
GUAGGGAAUAUUGGGCAAUGGAGGCAACUCUGACCCAGCCAUGCCGCGUGCAGGAUGACGGCCCUCUGGGUUGUAAACUGCUUUUAUACGGGAAGAAAAAAUACUACGUGUAGUAUACUGACGGUACCGUAAGAAUAAGGAUCGGCUAACUCCGUGCCAGCAGCCGCGGUAAUACGGAGGAUCCAAGCGUUGUCCGGAUUUAUUGGGUUUAAAGGGUGCGUAGGCGGAUCUUUAAGUCAGUGGUGAAAGCCUGCAGCUUAACUGUAGAAUUGCCAUUGAAACUGAAGAUCUUGAAUGUGGUUAAAGUAGGCGGAAUGUAUCAUGUAGCGGUGAAAUGCUUAGAUAUGAUACAGAACACCGAUAGCGAAGGCAGCUUGCUGAACCAUUAUUGACGCUGAGGCACGAAAGCGUGGGGAGCGAACAGGAUUAGAUACCCCAGUAGUCC